This 495-nucleotide ribosomal RNA is filed under the name uncultured bacterium. RNAcentral's name for it is "bacterial SSU rRNA". It matches the Rfam family "Bacterial small subunit ribosomal RNA", at positions 38 to 513 of the family's 1533-position model. The record is from RNAcentral.
GGCGGCGUGCCUAAUACAUGCAAGUCGAGCGAAUGGAUUAAGAGCUUGCUCUUAUGAAGUUAGCGGCGGACGGGUGAGUAACACGUGGGUAACCUGCCCAUAAGACUGGGAUAACUCCGGGAAACCGGGGCUAAUACCGGAUAACAUUUUGAACCGCAUGGUUCGAAAUUGAAAGGCGGCUUCGGCUGUCACUUAUGGAUGGACCCGCGUCGCAUUAGCUAGUUGGUGAGGUAACGGCUCACCAAGGCAACGAUGCGUAGCCGACCUGAGAGGGUGAUCGGCCACACUGGGACUGAGACACGGCCCAGACUCCUACGGGAGGCAGCAGUAGGGAAUCUUCCGCAAUGGACGAAAGUCUGACGGAGCAACGCCGCGUGAGUGAUGAAGGCUUUCGGGUCGUAAAACUCUGUUGUUAGGGAAGAACAAGUGCUAGUUGAAUAAGCUGGCACCUUGACGGUACCUAACCAGAAAGCCACGGCUAACUACGUGCCAGCA